Molecule: RNA transcript, 657 nt
Organism: Abrus precatorius (Indian licorice)
Lineage: Eukaryota; Viridiplantae; Streptophyta; Magnoliopsida; Fabales; Fabaceae
Exons: 5
Source: RefSeq, a predicted model, not a curated record
ACAAAAUCAAAAACCCUAAACCCUUGCUUGCGCUGUUCUCGUUCCUCCUCCGAUCUGAUCUCAUCGUCAAUGGCUUCAACGUGUAGCAGAAUCGCACAGAGAGCAUCGAUUUCGUCCAUAAAAUCGGCCAUUAAAUCCAACAUUCGUACUUCUUCUUUCACCAAACCAACCUCCUCCUCUGCUCCUCUUCCCCGAUCCUUCCUGACCAGGAUUGCGCCGGAACUGAGAUGCGUGCAGUCGAUGUUGCCGCUGCACAGUGCGGUGGCGGUGGCCAGAAUGAUGUCGUGCCUGAGCAUAACUUCUAGAAGCUGCCGAGCGCUUUCUCAGGGUACUCUCUGCUGCACCUCUCCCGGCCUCUAAUACUUUCUUUUUCAAAAUUAUUCGCAAAGUGCACAUAGUUAAUUGGGAAUUUGCGGGACCAGCCAAUUAUGGCGUACUGCUUCAUUAUCAAAUGGAAUUGAUGGAACGUGAGACAUGCAUAUGCUGUUCUUAAGAGCUUGGUCUAUCGGUUCCAAGGUGACCUGCUAGAAGAGAUUGAAGAAAGCCUUUUACGUUUGUAAGCUUGGAUUUAUGGUUGUUAUAUCAUACGCAGGAAGCGGCUACACUCACUGUAAUUCUUUCAGUCUGAGACAAUGAUUUUUGACUGAAUAAAAGAUA